This 432-nucleotide ribosomal RNA is filed under the name uncultured bacterium. RNAcentral's name for it is "bacterial SSU rRNA". It matches the Rfam family "Bacterial small subunit ribosomal RNA", at positions 957 to 1391 of the family's 1533-position model. The record is from RNAcentral.
GAACGCGAAGAACCUUACCAGGUCUUGACAUCCCUCUGACCGCUCUAGAGAUAGAGUUUUCCUUCGGGACAGAGGUGACAGGUGGUGCAUGGUUGUCGUCAGCUCGUGUCGUGAGAUGUUGGGUUAAGUCCCGCAACGAGCGCAACCCCUAUUGUUAGUUGCCAUCAUUUAGUUGGGCACUCUAGCGAGACUGCCGGUAAUAAACCGGAGGAGGGUGGGGAUGACGUCAAAUCAUCAUGCCCCUUAUGACCUGGCUACACACGUGCUACAAUGGCUGGUACAACGAGUCGCAAGCCGGUGACGGCAAGCUAAUCUCUUAAAGCCAGUCUCAGUUCGGAUUGUAGGCUGCAACUCGCCUACAUGAAGUCGGAAUCGCUAGUAAUCGCGGAUCAGCACGCCGCGGUGAAUACGUUCCCGGGUCUUGUACACACC